GCAUGAGUAGCUCAGCGCUCAGAGCAUUGGUCUUGUAAGCCAGGCGCCGGAGGUUAAAAUCCUCCCUCAUGCA
This 73-nucleotide transfer RNA is filed under the name Kopua minima. RNAcentral's name for it is "Aspasma minima tRNA-Thr". It matches the Rfam family "tRNA". Rfam says of the family: Transfer RNA (tRNA) molecules are approximately 80 nucleotides in length. Their secondary structure includes four short double-helical elements and three loops (D, anti-codon, and T loops). Further hydrogen bonds mediate the characteristic L-shaped molecular structure. tRNAs have two regions of fundamental functional importance: the anti-codon, which is responsible for specific mRNA codon recognition, and the 3' end, to which the tRNAs corresponding amino acid is attached (by aminoacyl-tRNA synthetases). tRNAs cope with the degeneracy of the genetic code in two manners: having more than one tRNA (with a specific anti-codon) for a particular amino acid; and 'wobble' base-pairing, i.e. permitting non-standard base-pairing at the 3rd anti-codon position. The record is from RNAcentral. Lineage: Eukaryota; Metazoa; Chordata; Actinopteri; Blenniiformes; Gobiesocidae.